AUACGGAGGAUGCGAGCGUUAUCCGGAUUUAUUGGGUUUAAAGGGGGCGUAGGUGGGAUAUUAAGUCAGCUGUGAAAGUUUGGGGCUCAACCUUAAAAUUGCAGUUGAUACUGGUUUCCUUGAGUACGGUACAGGUGGGCGGAAUUCGUGGUGUAGCGGUGAAAUGCUUAGAUAUCACGAAGAACUCCGAUCGCGAAGGCAGCUCACCGGGCCGGAACUGACACUGAUGCUCGAAAGUGCGGGUAUCAAACAGGAUUAGAUACCCUGGUAGUCCGCGCAGUAAACGAUGAAUACUCGCUGUUUGCGAUACACGGUAAGCGGCCAAGCGAAAGCGUUAAGUAUUCCACCUGGGGAGUACGCCGGCAACGGUGAAACUCAAAUGAAUUGACGGGG
This 393-nucleotide ribosomal RNA is filed under the name uncultured bacterium. Its description in RNAcentral is "partial 16S ribosomal RNA". It matches the Rfam family "Bacterial small subunit ribosomal RNA", at positions 523 to 918 of the family's 1533-position model. The record is from RNAcentral.